RNAcentral lists this unclassified non-coding RNA (849 nucleotides) under Hevea brasiliensis (rubber tree). Lineage: Eukaryota; Viridiplantae; Streptophyta; Magnoliopsida; Malpighiales; Euphorbiaceae. The record is from RNAcentral.
GAAAAGGUAGUUUAUUUUCUCAAGUUUAUAAUGUGAAGCCAGAAUGUUGUAGUUUUGAAAAUUAUGUAGCUUUGGUGUAAGUUCAACUUUGCCUGAAGUAUUAACUCUAAAAAAACAAAAAUAAUCUCCUUCCUUUUCCUUUCACAGCAGCAAUACUUUUCUUCUUCUCUCUUGAUUCUGUUUUCUUCCCCUCAAACCCAAACCACCACCAGCUACCAUUCUUAGCUGCUAGAAACCUCUGACCUUACAAGGGUGCUGUGGUGACAACUCCCCAAUAUUUGAUUCUCCCUUAUCUCUCUCUUUUUUAGUAAUUUCACUUUUUUCAUUUUUUAUUUCUGUUUCCCUCUCUCAGUUCUACUGUUAGGGCCUUCUCAGGGCUGAAGCAUCCUCCUCGACCUUCCAAGGAUGUUAGCAGCCAACACUUUGAAGGAAAAGAAAUGUGUUUCUGAGAUAGAAAUGCAUUUCACAAUUUCUGAAAAUUACAGAAAUGAGACCAGAACAUUUUGAGCCCAUUUCAGAAAAAUUUCUGAAAUGUAAAAAUGUGUGUAACCGUACGCUAACCUUUCUGUGCAUCAUAGACAAUAACUGGGAAAGAGUUUCAUUUUUUUAACACGUGUCUACUAUUAUAGACAUAUAUGGGUAAACUUAUUUCCAUGUUUAAAGAGGCUAGGCAAUAGGUACACAUACUAUUUUUCUGAUGAAUCCCUCACUCUAGACAUGACACAAUAACAAUAGCACAGUUAAUACCCCAGCCCUUUCAUCAUGGAUGUAUUCCUACUAAACAAGAAAAACACUCUCUCUGCCACAAUCAUUACAACCUUCCCGAACUGAAAUCCAUUAAUAUUCUCA